GACGAACGCUGGCGGCGUGCUUAACACAUGCAAGUCGAGCGGGAUCCAACCGGUGGCAACACCGGGAAGAUCUAGCGGCGAACGGGUGAGUAACACGUGAGCAACCUGCCCCGAAGACUGGGAUAACACCGGGAAACCGGUGCUAAUACCGGAUGUCGUCAUUAGGCCGCAUGACCUGAUGAUGAAAGGAUUCAUCGCUUCGGGAGGGGCUCGCGGGCUAUCAGCUUGNGGUGGGGUAACGGCCUACCAAGGCGACGACGGCUAGCUGGUCUGAGAGGACGACCAGCCACACCGGAACUGAGACACGGUCCGGACUCCUACGGGAGGCAGCAGUGGGGAAUAUUGGACAAUGGGGGCAACCCUGAUCCAGCGACGCCGCGUGGGUGAAGAAGGCCUGCGGUUGUAAACCUCUUUCAGCUCCGACGAAGCGAGAGUGACGGUAGGAGCAGAAGAAGCACCGGCCAACUACGUGCCAGCAGCCG
Molecule: ribosomal RNA, 482 nt
Filed under: uncultured bacterium
Lineage: Bacteria
Description: bacterial SSU rRNA
Rfam family: Bacterial small subunit ribosomal RNA
Source: RNAcentral